GUGAGUAACCUGCCCCCGACUCUGGGAUAACUGCUAGAAAUGGUAGCUAAUACCGGAUAUGACGACUGGCCGCAUGGUCUGGUCGUGGAAAGAAUUUCGGUUGGGGAUGGACUCGCGGCCUAUCAGGUUGUUGGUGAGGUAAUGGCUCACCAAGCCUACGACGGGUAGCCGGCCUGAGAGGGUGACCGGCCACACUGGGACUGAGACACGGCCCAGACUCCUACGGGAGGCAGCAGUGGGGAAUAUUGCACAAUGGGCGCAAGCCUGAUGCAGCAACGCCGCGUGAGGGAUGACGGCCUUCGGGUUGUAAACCUCUUUUAGUAGGGAAGAAGCGAAAGUGACGGUACCUGCAGAAAAAGCACCGGCUAACUACGUGCCAGCAGCCGCGGUAAUACGUAGGGUGCAAGCGUUGUCC
RNAcentral lists this ribosomal RNA (415 nucleotides) under Clavibacter sp. F100. RNAcentral describes it as "bacterial SSU rRNA". It matches the Rfam family "Bacterial small subunit ribosomal RNA", at positions 117 to 546 of the family's 1533-position model. Lineage: Bacteria; Bacillati; Actinomycetota; Actinomycetes; Micrococcales; Microbacteriaceae. The record is from RNAcentral. RNAcentral also lists the same sequence under 1 other name.